CCUACGGGAGGCAGCAGUGAGGAAUAUUGGUCAAUGGACGGAAGUCUGAACCAGCCAUGCCGCGUGCAGGAAGACGGCCCUACGGGUUGUAAACUUCUUUUGUCAGGGAGCAAUUGGGUCCACGCGUGGGCUUAGCGAGGGUACCUGAAGAAAAAGCAUCGGCUAACUCCGUGCCAGCAGCCGCGGUAAUACGGAGGAUGCGAGCGUUAUCCGGAUUUAUUGGGUUUAAAGGGUUCGUAGGCGGAUUGAUAAGUUAGAGGUGAAAUGUCCGAGCUUAACUCGGGAACUGCCUUUAAUACUGUUGAUCUAGAGAGUAGAUGCGGUAGGCGGAAUGUAUGGUGUAGCGGUGAAAUGCUUAGAGAUCAUACAGAACACCGAUUGCGAAGGCAGCUUACCAAUCUAUAUCUGACGUUGAGGCACGAAAGCGUGGGGAGCAAACAGGAUUAGAUACCCCUGUAGUC
Molecule: ribosomal RNA, 461 nt
Filed under: uncultured bacterium
Lineage: Bacteria
Description: partial 16S ribosomal RNA
Rfam family: Bacterial small subunit ribosomal RNA
Source: RNAcentral